Molecule: long non-coding RNA, 2735 nt
Organism: Astatotilapia calliptera (eastern happy)
Lineage: Eukaryota; Metazoa; Chordata; Actinopteri; Cichliformes; Cichlidae
Source: Ensembl
CCCUGAUCUGCUAAUGACGCUGCACCUUCAUCCACAGCGGAUGUCAGCUUGUGAUGGGAUGUAAAGAUGGGAGAGGAGAGCUGAGCUGAGAUGGAUGAUAACACUGUCCAGUGUGAUGGCAGCUCCUGACGUGUCUGCUUCUGCCCGAUUCUUUCUGUGUUUGCUUUGAGUUUAGCUGAAGCUUGGACAUCGCCUGCCUUCUGGUCGAGGACCCUGAUACUCCUGAAGCUGCAGAGAAAGCGAAACAACAGUUUAAUUGGCAUUGAGGACGAGCACGAAGAUGUUUGCAGCUGAGGCCAAAAAACUGAUUGACAAGGUGGGAGAUAAAGAGCUCAUCUAUAAUGAGAGCCUAAUCAAGAAAGUAGAUCUGCUGACUCUGGUCAAAGUCAGCAAAGGAAAAUUCUGGCCAGUGCAAAAGUACAAGAUAAUGCAACUCAGUCUGCCCGAGCUCAUGGAGGUGGAAGACUUCAGCCCAGGUGUGUAUUCAGAUGCAUAAACACACACAUAUUUUGUGUCACACAAUAUAAAUACACCUUUUUUUAUGACUGAGUCCCAUUGGCCUGGUGAUGAUGAUAUAAUACUGUAGUUCACAUGCUGACCUUAAUUCACAGAAUCUAUCUUAUUCAUCUCUGCCCCUCAUCGUCCAUACUUUUGCCAGAAAGAAAGGAAGGGUGAUAAAGUAAGACAGAGGAUGAUGGGUUGUGACCUGCAAGGCAAACAGGCUCACCAGUGUCACAGUGAACUAAUACAUUCCUUAAUCCACAGAAGGGAGAAUCAGCUGGGAGUGUGUGUCUUUAUGCUCCAGUUAUACCAGAGGUGGCGAGUGCACAGAUGAGCCCUUUGUGAGUAAUUUCAUGACUUCAACAAAGACGAGCGGGAGAGGAGGGUUAGGUGGAAAAGACAUUGGUGUGUAUGAAGCUGAAGUGAAUGCAGGCGCUGACAGUAUGGAUGGACUAGUUCAGCCCGUCAACAUGAUGUCGAAGAAAGUCGACCUUAAAGCCCUGAGGAGCGAGCUCAGUGACGGGACCAUAAAAACAGACAAAGUGAACCUGCUGGCACUGAAAACGAAGGAUAAACUGGCUUUUGUUCACCAGACAAUUUACAACUCUUCUCCUGUCACACUUAUUAGAAAGUGCACGAGGGAUGGGUCCUUGUUAGCCUCCUGCAUAAAGAUACUGAGUCUGUUUGCAAAGGGCCACAGAAAAGAGAAGACAAGCUUCACUGUUCCAGAAAAAUCCACCUUUGCUUACGGCCUGGUGGAGAUAAAGAUAGAGGAUGAGAAGCUAAAGAUCUCGUGUGAACCCUGGACUCGAGGUGCCCUCGAUGGACUCUUUGGCGAUGACAUAGAGAGUGCGAUGCUACAACAGAUUAAAGAAGAACUAAAGAUGAAGGAUGCUUUUCUGCAGCCGCUGGCAGAUCUUCCCGAGUCGACCCGUCAUGAUCUACUGAAGAAGCUCAGCGAGCUUGCUGAGGAUGGGGAUACUCUCUCUCUGCUGGAGCAAACAUUGGAUCACUGCAGUAAUGGAGCAUUUGAAGGCACUUUGUCUCAGGCUGCCUCCUCCUUCAUGGACCUUCUCGAUAUUUCAAACAUCUCCACUGCUGUGAAGGAUGCUGUUCACCUGUUGGUCAGCGCGUUGGACACUCUGCCAGAUGAAGUGCCGCCACUUCUGACCUGCUGCAGUCCAGACACUCUGAGAGUGCUCAACCAGUUGGUGGAUGGUCUGAAGGACGGUCGGGCCACACUGCCAGAGUCCCUGCCCGUCCCCCUGCAGGAGGGAGGGGAGCUCCGCUGGGCGGCCGAGUUCAUCUGUUUGAACGAUCAGAAGCUGAAAGAGUUGAGUGACGGCUGGGACCGGCCCGAGCUGCCCCCAGAGGUUCUGCUGGAGGUUCUGUGCCUCGCUGUGCAGGGACUCAGCCUCCUGAUGCAGCCCACAACAAACCCUUAAUGUCAGCUGCUGUGAUCUUUGUUAACCUGUUUUCACAGCAGCGUUCUGCAUCUUUGAACGUUUCUGCCAUUGUUUCCUGAACUUUCAUCUGUCAAAGAUCAAAAACAAAAAGAAUAAUCUAAUAAAAUAUAUAUAUAUUUUUAAAUAAAUAAAACUUCAUACUUUUAUGUUCGGCUCAUGGUUUUAAUAUUUUAUUAGUUUUUGCUGCACUCCUUUAUGUUCUGUCCUGUUCCCUCCUCUGUGCCCCUGACCCUGUUUCCAUGCUUGUUUACUGUUAGUUAUUUUUACAAUAUUGAUAUAGAACUAAUCUCUUGAAAUAUCAUAUAUCAGAUUUGGUACUUGAGAGACAAGAAAAAGAAGUGACAGCAUGCAGAGAAGGAGGCUAAACAUUGUGCCCUCUGCUCCAGAGACAGUCCUCACAAACAGGCGAUAGAAACUGUAGGGUCAGAGUCUGGACUGAACCUGUCAAGAGUAUUUUUGUUUUUAAAGGUUUUAUUAUUCAUAUAAUAAUCAGCUAAGAGUGUUUAUAUUUCUGUCUUGUACUCAACCAGCUGCAUAUUUUAAUUGCUGGCUCUCUACUCUGUAACGGAAACUGUUUGCCUUCACAUUAAUUGUCAGCAGCAGGAAACCGCCACCCAAGAGCAAGAAACAACCUUGUAGAGAAUACAAAGUUCUUGAGAAAUCCCACCUGCUUGCUUGACAAGAUAAGCAUGAUAUUUCCUUUUUUGUAUGCUUCCUGUUGUGUAUAAAUAAAGGCAGCGAGCUGCUCCACGGUGUGUGAGUCUCCCC